CACGGGGGGAGCAAGCGUUGUUCGGAAUCACUGGGCGUAAAGGGCGUGCAGGCGGUCCGGUAAGUGGGAUGUGAAAUGCCCCGGCUCACCCGGGGACCGGCAUCUCAUACUGCUUGGCUUGAGUACGGGAGAGGAUGUGGGAAUUCCUGGUGUAGCGGUGAAAUGCGUAGAUAUCAGGAGGAACACCGGUGGCGAAGGCGCACAUCUGGCCCGAUACUGACGCUGAGGCGCGAAAGCUAGGGGAGCAAACGGG
This 253-nucleotide ribosomal RNA is filed under the name uncultured bacterium. Its description in RNAcentral is "partial 16S ribosomal RNA". It matches the Rfam family "Bacterial small subunit ribosomal RNA", at positions 524 to 776 of the family's 1533-position model. The record is from RNAcentral.